GGCCGCGCCGCGCCGGGCCGGCUGCAUCCGGGUACUCGCGCCCCUCACAGCGGGGCAGGUGAGGGGGCGGGCGCUCGCGGCUUCUUGCUCUGCUGCUUGUCCCGGCUGUCCACCAGGCGCCGAGGGGGCUGCUGCGAAAAAUGUUCCGGGGGUCCCUCGCCCAGGGCCUGAGUUAGAAUAAGUUAGUCUGGUGUAUGGAUUAUUUGCCUGCAGUUGAAGAAAGACUUUUCGCUCCUAAAAAGUUCCUGAAUUAGUGGUCGUCAGCAUGACCAGACAUCAGGAAAUGUGAAAAUUAAUUGAAUCCAAAAUUAAGCUUAUUGUGUAAAAAUCACACCAAUAGAGACGGUUCAAAAUGAGACUACAGCACCUCCAAAUGGAUCUACUGCCACUAAGAUCAUCUAAGCAGGUCUUGUAGAAGAUGGAAUGAACUUUUUUUUUUUUUACAGGUAUGUUUCUGCUGAAAGUCCACUUUUUAUUUUUUCUUUUAAGACUAAAAUUACCCUGACCAAGUCAACUUGCCU
Long non-coding RNA from Harpia harpyja (harpy eagle), 521 nucleotides. RefSeq lists it as uncharacterized. The record is from RefSeq and is a predicted model, not a curated record. The transcript has 3 exons. Lineage: Eukaryota; Metazoa; Chordata; Aves; Accipitriformes; Accipitridae.